RNAcentral lists this ribosomal RNA (234 nucleotides) under Klebsiella pneumoniae. RNAcentral describes it as "partial 16S ribosomal RNA". It matches the Rfam family "Bacterial small subunit ribosomal RNA", at positions 888 to 1121 of the family's 1533-position model. The record is from RNAcentral. RNAcentral also lists the same sequence under 5 other names. Lineage: Bacteria; Pseudomonadati; Pseudomonadota; Gammaproteobacteria; Enterobacterales; Enterobacteriaceae.
GCAAGGUUAAAACUCAAAUGAAUUGACGGGGGCCCGCACAAGCGGUGGAGCAUGUGGUUUAAUUCGAUGCAACGCGAAGAACCUUACCUGGUCUUGACAUCCACAGAACUUUCCAGAGAUGGAUUGGUGCCUUCGGGAACUGUGAGACAGGUGCUGCAUGGCUGUCGUCAGCUCGUGUUGUGAAAUGUUGGGUUAAGUCCCGCAACGAGCGCAACCCUUAUCCUUUGUUGCCAG